GGGAUCUUCGGACCUUGCGCUAAUAGAUGAGCCUAAGUCGGAUUAGCUMGUUGGUGGGGUAAAGGCCUACCCAGGCCACCAUCCGUAGCGGGUCUGAGAGGAUGAUCCGCCACACUGGGACUGAGACACGGCCCSACUCCUACGGGAGGCAGCAGUGGGGAAUAUUGGACAAUGGGGGGAACCCUGAUCCCCCCUGCCGCGUGUGUGAAGAAGGCCUUAUGGUUGUAAAGCACUUUAAGCGAGGCGGAGGCUACUGAGACCACUACUCUUACAUACUGGACGUUAGUCCCA
RNAcentral lists this ribosomal RNA (291 nucleotides) under Acinetobacter sp. RNAcentral's name for it is "partial 16S ribosomal RNA". It matches the Rfam family "Bacterial small subunit ribosomal RNA", at positions 199 to 483 of the family's 1533-position model. Lineage: Bacteria; Pseudomonadati; Pseudomonadota; Gammaproteobacteria; Moraxellales; Moraxellaceae. The record is from RNAcentral.